RNAcentral lists this ribosomal RNA (253 nucleotides) under uncultured bacterium. RNAcentral describes it as "partial 16S ribosomal RNA". It matches the Rfam family "Bacterial small subunit ribosomal RNA", at positions 524 to 776 of the family's 1533-position model. The record is from RNAcentral.
UACGAAGGGUCCAAGCGUUAUCCGGAUUUAUUGGGUUUAAAGGGUGCGUAGGCGGCUUAUUAAGUCAGUGGUGAAAGACUUCAGCUUAACUGAAGAACUGCCAUUGAUACUGAUGAGCUUGAAUGUAGUUGAGGUGGGCGGAAUGUGUCAUGUAGCGGUGAAAUGCUUAGAUAUGACACAGAACACCGAUUGCGAAGGCAGCUUACUGCCCGAAUAUUGACACUGAGGCACGAAAGCGUGGGGAUCAAACAGG